RNAcentral lists this transfer RNA (80 nucleotides) under Candidatus Vicinibacter affinis. Its description in RNAcentral is "tRNA-Met". It matches the Rfam family "tRNA". Rfam says of the family: Transfer RNA (tRNA) molecules are approximately 80 nucleotides in length. Their secondary structure includes four short double-helical elements and three loops (D, anti-codon, and T loops). Lineage: Bacteria; Pseudomonadati; Bacteroidota; Saprospiria; Saprospirales; Saprospiraceae. The record is from RNAcentral.
GGUCCCAUAGCUCAGCCGGAGCAUCUGACUCAUAAUCAGUCCCCAACGAGUUGGGGAUGGUUCGAGCCCAGGUGGGACCA